Aedes aegypti (yellow fever mosquito) is the source of this 468-nucleotide long non-coding RNA. RefSeq lists it as uncharacterized. Lineage: Eukaryota; Metazoa; Arthropoda; Insecta; Diptera; Culicidae. The record is from RefSeq and is a predicted model, not a curated record. The transcript is spliced from 2 exons.
UAGUUCAUUCUGUGUUGUGGUUUGAUGUUUGACAUUUCAUAUUACGUUCAUCGUUUGUUGUGCUCGAGAUGGUGAAGAUGAGGUCAGUUAUUCUUAAAAGAAUUUCUAAUUUAAAGUAUGGAGGUGAAUCUUUUUUGUUUGCGAAAAGCUAAAAUGCAAUUCAAUUCAGCAUCAGUUUUGUGGCUCGAAGAGAUUUUGCGGCAUCUGAUUGAUUUUUUUUCAUUCUACCCAAAGCGAGCUGUGUAAAUCUGGAUCUUCAGACAACCUGGGUACCAAGUUGUAUACCUGUUUACAUCUACUGAACAGAGCACCACUACCCAACGAAGCAUCUAGUAACUCGGUCGGAACUACCUAGCUACUACGGCUGUAUCAAAUUUGAGCACCAUGUCAUCGAUUUAAUGUAAUAAAACACUUUUCUUCAGAUAGUUGAAUACUUUUUGAUUUAAAUAAACCUUAUGAGAUUUGAAA